This 71-nucleotide transfer RNA is filed under the name Ovis aries (sheep). It matches the Rfam family "tRNA". Rfam says of the family: Transfer RNA (tRNA) molecules are approximately 80 nucleotides in length. Their secondary structure includes four short double-helical elements and three loops (D, anti-codon, and T loops). Lineage: Eukaryota; Metazoa; Chordata; Mammalia; Artiodactyla; Bovidae. The record is from Rfam by way of RNAcentral.
CCCUGUCAGCUCAGAUGAUAAAGAGUCUGCCUGCAAUGCAGGAGACCCAGGUUUGAUCCCUGGGUCAGGAA